GACAGAGGAUGCAAGCGUUAUCCGGAAUGAUUGGGCGUAAAGCGUCUGUAGGUGGCUUUUCAAGUCCGCCGUCAAAUCCCAGGGCUCAACCCUGGACAGGCGGUGGAAACUACCAAGCUGGAGUACGGUAGGGGCAGAGGGAAUUUCCGAUGGAGCGGUGAAAUGCGUUGAUAUCGUUAGGAACUCCGGUGGCGAAGGCGGCAUGCUGGACCUUUUCUGACGCUGAGGCGCGAAAGCCAGGGGAGCAAACGGG
Molecule: ribosomal RNA, 253 nt
Filed under: uncultured bacterium
Lineage: Bacteria
Description: partial 16S ribosomal RNA
Rfam family: Bacterial small subunit ribosomal RNA
Source: RNAcentral